UACGUAGGGUCCGAGCGUUGUCCGGAAUUAUUGGGCGUAAAGAGCUCGUAGGCGGUUUGUCGCGUCUGCUGUGAAGUCCCGAGGCUCAACCUCGGGUCUGCAGUGGGUACGGGCAGGCUAGAGUUCGGUAGGGGAGACUGGAAUUCCUGGUGUAGCGGUGAAAUGCGCAGAUAUCAGGAGGAACACCGGUGGCGAAGGCGGGUCUCUGGGCCGAUACUGACGCUGAGGAGCGAAAGCGUGGGGAGCGAACAGG
RNAcentral lists this ribosomal RNA (253 nucleotides) under uncultured bacterium. RNAcentral's name for it is "partial 16S ribosomal RNA". It matches the Rfam family "Bacterial small subunit ribosomal RNA", at positions 524 to 776 of the family's 1533-position model. The record is from RNAcentral.